UCUCGAAGUCUCUCUUCGCUCCUCUUGCUCUUCUUCAUCUUGUUCGAAAUCUUCUUGUACAUUAUACAACGUCAAGGUUCAUCGAAAGAGAGCGAAACAUGGGAGAGAGGCAGUGAAAGGCGGAGGAGCGCCUCCGUGCCCCACUCUUGUUCAGUAUUAGCACUGAAUUCUAGGGUUUCGUCCUAUCCGGCGCGUGGUUCGAGAACUCAGGUGCUUGAGAAGGCAUCACGGGCUGUUUGGGAGCUAAUUCUUGACGAAAGCGGCUUGGGGAAGGAGAUCAGUGAAACAGUUGAAAGAGUUUUCUGUAAAUUAAGUGGCCGUGAGCUGUUGCCACCACCCCAGCCUACUGGAAGUUUUGCUCAAGAGUCGAACAAAGUACAAGAAACACAGGAAAAGGAAGCAGAGAAGGUGAAGGAUAUAGAGAUGUCCGAGUCAUCAGCAAAGAAAAGGACCUUCAGUGAAAUGAAUGCGAAAGGUACAGUAGCUGCUAAUGGAGCGACUGACCAUCCUCCUGCAUCCCAUGAUGUUGCACCCCUUACAUGAUGUUGCACCACCCUUGGGCAUUGUACCACCAUGCCAACAUAACAAAUGCACUUGCUUGUUUGAUUUUAUGUAAGCAUUUGCUAGGUGGAUUUAAUGUAAAAUUUCACUCAGUCCAAUUAUUAUUAGUGCCCUUGAUUUGGUUUAUAAAGAGGUCUAUGAAAAUAUAUGGUAAAGCUA
Molecule: RNA transcript, 720 nt
Organism: Zingiber officinale
Lineage: Eukaryota; Viridiplantae; Streptophyta; Magnoliopsida; Zingiberales; Zingiberaceae
Exons: 2
Source: RefSeq, a predicted model, not a curated record